This 894-nucleotide ribosomal RNA is filed under the name Hapsidospora globosa. RNAcentral's name for it is "LSU rRNA". It matches the Rfam family "Eukaryotic large subunit ribosomal RNA", at positions 38 to 962 of the family's 3401-position model. The record is from RNAcentral. Lineage: Eukaryota; Fungi; Ascomycota; Sordariomycetes; Hypocreales; Bionectriaceae.
ACAUAUCAAUAAGCGGAGGAAAAGAAACCAACAGGGAUUGCCCCAGUAACGGCGAAGUGAAGCGGCAACAGCUCAAAUUUGAAAUCUGGCCCCCAGGCCCGAGUUGUAAUUUGCAGAGGAUGCUUCUGGCGACGCGCCUUCCGAGUUCCCUGGAACGGGACGCCACAGAGGGUGAGAGCCCCGUCCGGUCGUGCGCCUAGCCUGUGUGAAGCUCCUUCGACGAGUCGAGUAGUUUGGGAAUGCUGCUCUAAAUGGGAGGUAUACGUCUUCUAAAGCUAAAUACCGGCCAGAGACCGAUAGCGCACAAGUAGAGUGAUCGAAAGAUGAAAAGCACUUUGAAAAGAGGGUUAAAUAGUACGUGAAAUUGCUGAAAGGGAAGCGCUUAUGACCAGACUUGGGCCCGGUGAAUCACCCAGCGUUCUCGCUGGUGCACUUUGCCGGCCCAGGCCAGCAUCAGUUCGCGCCGGGGGAUAAAGGCUUCGGGAAUGUAGCUCCCUCGGGAGUGUUAUAGACCGUUGCGUAAUACCCUGGCGCGGACUGAGGUACGCGUUCUGCAAGGAUGCUGGCGUAAUGGUCAUCAGUGACCCGUCUUGAAACACGGACCAAGGAGUCGUCUUUGUAUGCGAGUGUUCGGGUGUCAAACCCCUACGCGUAAUGAAAGUGAACGUAGGAGAGAGCUUCGGCGCAUCUCCGACCGAUCCUGAUGUUCUCGGAUGGAUUUGAGUAAGAGCAUACAGGGCCGGACCCGAAAGAAGGUGAACUAUGCCUGUAUAGGGUGAAGCCAGAGGAAACUCUGGUGGAGGCUCGCAGCGGUUCUGACGUGCAAAUCGAUCGUCAAAUAUGGGCAUGGGGGGCGAAAGACUAAUCGAACCUUCUAGUAGCUGGGUUUCCGCC